Molecule: ribosomal RNA, 636 nt
Filed under: uncultured bacterium
Lineage: Bacteria
Description: bacterial SSU rRNA
Rfam family: Bacterial small subunit ribosomal RNA
Source: RNAcentral
UAAAGAUUCAUCGCUGAUAGAUAGGCAUGCGUUCCAUUAGGCAGUUGGCGGGGUAACGGCCCACCAAACCGACGAUGGAUAGGGGUUCUGAGAGGAAGGUCCCCCACAUUGGUACUGAGACACGGACCAAACUCCUACGGGAGGCAGCAGUGAGGAAUAUUGGUCAAUGGGCGCGAGCCUGAACCAGCCAAGUCGCGUGAGGGAUGAAGGUUCUAUGGAUCGUAAACCUCUUUUAUAAGGGAAUAAAGUGUGGGACGUGUCCUAUUUUGUAUGUACCUUAUGAAUAAGGAUCGGCUAACUCCGUGCCAGCAGCCGCGGUAAUACGGAGGAUCCGAGCGUUAUCCGGAUUUAUUGGGUUUAAAGGGUGCGUAGGCGGCCUUUUAAGUCAGCGGUGAAAGUCUGUGGCUCAACCAUAGAAUUGCCGUUGAAACUGGGGGGCUUGAGUAUGUUUGAGGCAGGCGGAAUGCGUGGUGUAGCGGUGAAAUGCUUAGAUAUCACGCAGAACCCCGAUUGCGAAGGCAGCCUGCCAAGCCAUGACUGACGCUGAUGCACGAAAGCGUGGGGAUCAAACAGGAUUAGAUACCCUGGUAGUCCACGCAGUAAACGAUGAUCACUAGCUGUUUGCGAUACAGUGUA